AUGCUGCCCUUGACCCUGUGCCUUUUUUGCAUUUUCCAAAGCAUCCUUCCGGUCAAGGGAGGGAGGAGCGUGGUUGUGGGGGGCGGUUUGCCCCUGUUUAAUGGAGGAGGCCUGGGAAGUCCAGAGCUUGCCCACAUGGGGAGGGGCCAGGGCGGGGGGGGGGGGGGUUGUGCCAUGAGGCUUCACCCUGGCAGGUUCCUGAGGGCUGGAGCUGUGUGUGCAGCCGCUCUGCCCCCUGGGGGGAAUCCUGGGACCCUCUGCGCCCGGCCUCUGCCGUCCCUGGACGUUCCCGGGAAGGCCCACCCGCCCUCGGGGACCAGGCGGGCAGAGGAGCCAGCUUACAGGAUGGGAGCUGCCAAAGGCAUUUGCCCUUCGUUCCGCGAACCUCUCCCUCUUCUUCCUCUGAUUGUGGCCGCUUCCUGUGAGCGUGUGUGCGUGUUUUCUUGGACAACCCCACAAUCGAAACCGCUUUGGCCUCUCAGGGGCAUACUCACUCGGGUUACGGCCCUGGGCUGGGGGGUUCUGUGGCCUUUUUAUUUAUUUAUUUUGUCAUCUGCGGCCAGUGCCCUGGGGGAAGCAGCUGCCCGGCACCCAGGAGCCCCCGCAGCACUGCUGUCCCCCUGCACGGCUCCAGCCACGCACGGCCUCCCCGCCCGGGGCCCCGGAGCUGUGUCUGUCUCUGCCACACUGCUUUGCUCACCGCAGCGCCCACCUGGGAGUCGAGCCCUUUCCGAAGCCUCACGUGGCGUCUGCAGACAGAAGGCGGCCUUGUGUGGGAGAGGGGCUCUCCUGGAGAGGCUCCCGGGACAGCCCAGGAGGAAAAAGAGGAGGCUCGGGCCUCUGGGAAGGCCGGAGCUGCACAGACCCCUGAUGCAGCUUCCAGCCAGCAGGUGGAGGGAGCCCCGGCAGCCUCGGCGGCAAGCCCAGCACCAGGGUGCAGAAUGCCAAGUCCUACAAAGCUCCCCAGACCCGACCUCAGGAAGCAGGCGAAGCAGGGGCCGGGCUGGGUCAGGCCACCGUCCAGCAAAUUACCGCAUCUGCCUCUUCCACCUGCCAGAGCCACCCCAGGGACCCCCGGCCUCCCCGCCCCCCUCGGCGAGGCCCCUUCCAGCCCCCUCCUGCCAAGACAGUGUCGUGUCAGCUUCCAGUUGUGUGUGCCCCCGUGUGUGA
RNAcentral lists this long non-coding RNA (1170 nucleotides) under Oryctolagus cuniculus (rabbit). Its description in RNAcentral is "lncRNA (ENSOCUG00000036651.1)". The record is from RNAcentral. Lineage: Eukaryota; Metazoa; Chordata; Mammalia; Lagomorpha; Leporidae.